GAGGUAAUAGCUCAGUGGUAGAGUAGGUGCUCAGUAUGCACGAGGUCCUGGGUUCAGUUCCCAGUACCUCC
This 71-nucleotide transfer RNA is filed under the name Camelus ferus (Wild Bactrian camel). It matches the Rfam family "tRNA". From Rfam's summary of the family: Transfer RNA (tRNA) molecules are approximately 80 nucleotides in length. Their secondary structure includes four short double-helical elements and three loops (D, anti-codon, and T loops). The record is from Rfam by way of RNAcentral. Lineage: Eukaryota; Metazoa; Chordata; Mammalia; Artiodactyla; Camelidae.